UGUAAUUCAAGAAAAAUGUUAAAAAUUUGGAAAUUUUUUUGCAAUAUGCGACAAAUAAUGUAUAUCCAAUGUAAGUACAAUUCGAUCAUCGUGAUUAAUGUUUAUUUAAUAAUCAUUUUACUUAUAUUAAAUAUUAUUGAUCAGACCAUUUAGAUCGUCAAAAUACGUACGAUAUUUUUCUCGAGGAAAUAAAAAAUGCCAAAAAUAUGUACUGAUCCGAAAUGUCCUUUGAAUAAAUACGCGAAGUAAGUUAUUCAAAUUAUUUCUGUGAUAUCUCUUAUAUUAUUUCUAAACAUUUUUACCUUUCAUAUUUCUCUACCAAGUUUUAUUUUGAAUUUUACAGUACUCAAAAAUCACGAAAAGAUUCAUGUAAAAUUCAUGGAAAGGCAUGCAUCAAAUAUUCCUCUGAUCAUGCACGAGAGAAUCGUAGCGGCGAACAUGAACGAACAAAAUAUUGUAAAAAAUUAUGUCGAAAAAAGGAUCAAAAGUUACAAGAGACGACAACAAAAGCUGCUCGUUGUGGGAUAUGUUGUAAAAAGUAUAACAUUUAUAUAUAAUUAAUAUAUAAAUAAUAAAUAAAUAAAUUCUAUUAUUUUUUAGCGAAAGAUGUCAAAUAAUUGAAUCUACCAGCAUAGAACCUGGCACAUCAUCCACAGAUUCAUUGCCAAUAAAACGGUAAAUUAUUUACAAUCUUAUAAUCAUUAACAAAAUUUGUACAAAUAAAUAAUCUUUACUAAAAAUCCUACAGUUCGAAAAAACACGGAAUGAAAAAACAAAUACAUGAGGAAAAAGAAGACAAAUCUUUUUGCGAAUGUAGACGUAAAAGAUGUUGCGAUAGAAGAGAACAAAAUCAAAAAAUGAGAAAAAGAGUUAAAUAUCGUUCUCGUCGUAAGAGAAAAAGAAAAGAUAAUUGGUUAACAAAUUGUUUAAGAAAACUUUGCUUUUGCGUGAAGACUCCUGUGAGUUAUGAACAACCGAAUGCGUAUGAACGAUCUCGUGAAACUUUAUUACAAAGUUGCAAAUGUUGUAACACGUACAGAGAUAUGAUAAAAAAACAUUGAGAGAAGAUACUGCGAGAUAUCACCGAGCUAAUGGAUUAGAACAAAAAUGUCAAUGCAUCAACACCAUUGCGAAGAAUCGGUUGGUUUCUUCUUCUUCUUCUUCUUUUUUAAUGAAAUCAUCUUUUAUACUAAUUAUUUCAACUUAUUAUUUUUCUAGAGAGACAUCUCAACAUCAGUCAUAUUU
This 1245-nucleotide unclassified non-coding RNA is filed under the name Polistes dominula (European paper wasp). Its description in RNAcentral is "uncharacterized LOC107071082, transcript variant X1". Lineage: Eukaryota; Metazoa; Arthropoda; Insecta; Hymenoptera; Vespidae. The record is from RNAcentral.